Molecule: ribosomal RNA, 156 nt
Filed under: Aspergillus ochraceoroseus
Lineage: Eukaryota; Fungi; Ascomycota; Eurotiomycetes; Eurotiales; Aspergillaceae
Description: 5.8S ribosomal RNA
Rfam family: 5.8S ribosomal RNA
About the family: 5.8S ribosomal RNA (5.8S rRNA) is a component of the large subunit of the eukaryotic ribosome. It is transcribed by RNA polymerase I as part of the 45S precursor that also contains 18S and 28S rRNA. Functionally, it is thought that 5.8S rRNA may be involved in ribosome translocation.
Source: RNAcentral
AAACUUUCAACAAUGGAUCUCUUGGUUCCGGCAUCGAUGAAGAACGCAGCGAACUGCGAUACGUAAUGUGAAUUGCAGAAUUCAGUGAAUCAUCGAGUCUUUGAACGCACAUUGCGCCCCCUGGUAUUCCGGGGGCAUGCCUGUCCGAGCGUCAUU